RNAcentral lists this ribosomal RNA (311 nucleotides) under Clostridioides difficile. Its description in RNAcentral is "bacterial LSU rRNA". It matches the Rfam family "Bacterial large subunit ribosomal RNA", at positions 1146 to 1465 of the family's 2925-position model. The record is from RNAcentral. Lineage: Bacteria; Bacillati; Bacillota; Clostridia; Peptostreptococcales; Peptostreptococcaceae.
UGGUCGAGUGAUCCUGCGCCGAAGAUUUCCGGGGCUAAAACUUACUACNGAAGCUACGGCAUCAGUAAGGAUGGGUAGGGGAGCUUCCCAUACGGGUUGAAGCAUGACCGUAAGGACAUGUGGACAGGAUGGGAGUGAGAAUGUUGGAAUGAGUAGCGAGAUGUGGGUGAGAAUCCCACAGGCCGUAAACCCAAGGUUUCCAGGGGAAGGUUCGUCCGCCAUGGGUUAGUCGGGACCUAAGCUGAGGCCGAAAGGCGUAGGUGAUGGACAACAGGUUGAUAUUCCUGUACUACCGAUAACCGUUUGAGAGA